This 428-nucleotide ribosomal RNA is filed under the name uncultured prokaryote. RNAcentral describes it as "bacterial SSU rRNA". It matches the Rfam family "Bacterial small subunit ribosomal RNA", at positions 355 to 774 of the family's 1533-position model. The record is from RNAcentral.
UGAGGAAUAUUGCGCAAUGGGGGCAACCCUGACGCAGCAACGCCGCGUGAGUGAGGAAGGUUUUCGGACCGUAAAGCUCUGUCGAGCGGGAAGAAAUGUAUCGUGGCUAAUAUCCAUGAUAUUUGACGGUACCGCUAAAGGAAGCACCGGCUAACUCCGUGCCAGCAGCCGCGGUAAUACGGGGGGUGCAAGCGUUGUUCGGAAUUAUUGGGCGUAAAGAGCGUGUAGGCGGCUGAAUAAGUCAGAUGUGAAAUCCCUGGGCUUAACCCAGGAAGUGCAUUUGAAACUAUUCAGCUUGAGUAGGGGAGAGGAAAGUGGAAUUCCUGGUGUAGAGGUGAAAUUCGUAGAUAUCAGGAGGAACACCGGUGGCGAAGGCGACUUUCUGGCCCUAUACUGACGCUGAGACGCGAGUGGGUAGGUUGCGAACA